RNAcentral lists this ribosomal RNA (253 nucleotides) under uncultured bacterium. RNAcentral describes it as "partial 16S ribosomal RNA". It matches the Rfam family "Bacterial small subunit ribosomal RNA", at positions 524 to 776 of the family's 1533-position model. The record is from RNAcentral.
UACAGAGGGUGCAAACGUUGUUCGGAAUUACUGGGCGUAAAGCGCGUGCAGGCGGCCUUGCAAGUCGGACGUGAAAUCCCACGGCUCAACCGUGGAAGUGCAUUCGAAACUGCGAGGCUGGAGUCCUGGAGAGGAAAGUGGAAUACUCGGUGUAGAGGUGAAAUUCGUAGAUAUCGAGAGGAACACCUGCGGCGAAGGCGGGUUGCUGGGCUGACACUGACGCUGAUGCGCGAAAGCCAGGGGAGCGAACGGG